UACGAAGGGGGCUAGCGUUGCUCGGAAUCACUGGGCGUAAAGCGCACGUAGGCGGAUUGUUAAGUCGGGGGUGAAAUCCUGGAGCUCAACUCCAGAACUGCCUUCGAUACUGGCGAUCUUGAGUCCGGGAGAGGUGAGUGGAACUCCGAGUGUAGAGGUGAAAUUCGUAGAUAUUCGGAAGAACACCAGUGGCGAAGGCGGCUCACUGGCCCGGUACUGACGCUGAGGCGCGAAAGCUAGGGGAGCAAACGGG
This 253-nucleotide ribosomal RNA is filed under the name uncultured bacterium. Its description in RNAcentral is "partial 16S ribosomal RNA". It matches the Rfam family "Bacterial small subunit ribosomal RNA", at positions 524 to 776 of the family's 1533-position model. The record is from RNAcentral.